This 1456-nucleotide ribosomal RNA is filed under the name Enterococcus faecalis. RNAcentral describes it as "partial 23S ribosomal RNA". It matches the Rfam family "Bacterial large subunit ribosomal RNA", at positions 1 to 1461 of the family's 2925-position model. Lineage: Bacteria; Bacillati; Bacillota; Bacilli; Lactobacillales; Enterococcaceae. The record is from RNAcentral. RNAcentral also lists the same sequence under 2 other names.
GGUUAAGUGAAUAAGGGCGCACGGUGGAUGCCUUGGCACUAGGAGCCGAUGAAGGACGGGACUAACACCGAUAUGCUUUGGGGAGCUGUAAGUAAGCUAUGAUCCAGAGAUUUCCGAAUGGGGGAACCCAAUAUCUUUUAUAGGAUAUUACUUUUCAGUGAAUACAUAGCUGAUUAGAGGUAGACGCAGAGAACUGAAACAUCUUAGUACCUGCAGGAAGAGAAAGAAAAUUCGAUUCCCUGAGUAGCGGCGAGCGAAACGGGAAGAGCCCAAACCAACAAGCUUGCUUGUUGGGGUUGUAGGACUCCAAUAUGGUAGUCUGUUAGUAUAGUUGAAGGAUUUGGAAAAUUCCGCUAAAGAGGGUGAAAGCCCCGUAGACGAAAUGCUAACAACACCUAGGAGGAUCCUGAGUACGGCGGAACACGAGAAAUUCCGUCGGAAUCCGCGGGGACCAUCCCGCAAGGCUAAAUACUCCCUAGUGACCGAUAGUGAACCAGUACCGUGAGGGAAAGGUGAAAAGCACCCCGGAAGGGGAGUGAAAUAGAUCCUGAAACCGUGUGCCUACAACAAGUCAAAGCUCGUUAAUGAGUGAUGGCGUGCCUUUUGUAGAAUGAACCGGCGAGUUACGAUUGCAUGCGAGGUUAAGUCGAAGAGACGGAGCCGCAGCGAAAGCGAGUCUGAAUAGGGCGAAUGAGUAUGUAGUCGUAGACCCGAAACCAUGUGAUCUACCCAUGUCCAGGUUGAAGGUGCGGUAAAACGCACUGGAGGACCGAACCCACGUACGUUGAAAAGUGCGGGGAUGAGGUGUGGGUAGCGGAGAAAUUCCAAACGAACUUGGAGAUAGCUGGUUCUCUCCGAAAUAGCUUUAGGGCUAGCCUCGGAAUUGAGAAUGAUGGAGGUAGAGCACUGUUUGGACUAGGGGCCCAUCUCGGGUUACCGAAUUCAGAUAAACUCCGAAUGCCAUUCAUUUAUAUCCGGGAGUCAGACUGCGAGUGAUAAGAUCCGUAGUCGAAAGGGAAACAGCCCAGACCACCAGCUAAGGUCCCAAAAUAUAUGUUAAGUGGAAAAGGAUGUGGGGUUGCACAGACAACUAGGAUGUUGGCUUAGAAGCAGCCACCAUUUAAAGAGUGCGUAAUAGCUCACUAGUCGAGUGACCCUGCGCCGAAAAUGUACCGGGGCUAAACAUAUUACCGAAGCUGUGGACUACACCAUUAGGUGUAGUGGUAGGAGAGCGUUCUAAGGGCGUUGAAGGUCGAUCGUGAGGACGGCUGGAGCGCUUAGAAGUGAGAAUGCCGGUAUGAGUAGCGAAAGACAGGUGAGAAUCCUGUCCACCGUAUGACUAAGGUUUCCUGGGGAAGGCUCGUCCGCCCAGGGUUAGUCGGGACCUAAGCCGAGGCCGAUAGGCGUAGGCGAUGGACAACAGGUUGAUAUUCCUGUACCAGUUGUUUUUGUUUGA